Molecule: non-coding RNA, 419 nt
Organism: Ciona intestinalis (vase tunicate)
Lineage: Eukaryota; Metazoa; Chordata; Ascidiacea; Phlebobranchia; Cionidae
Source: RefSeq, a predicted model, not a curated record
CCUGAAACUUCUGCUGACCGUACAUGCUUGAAUCAAUUGUUAUAGGUGGUCCUAAAAAUAACCACACUUAAAUGAUAGUUUGCAGAAUUAUAUAAAAAAGGAUGAGUUUGCAGAAUCGUAUAAAAAGUAGGAUUAAACAAAUGGCAUGCACUAUUGAUAAAAAUUUACUGUGGUAUUUUGUACCUGCAUGUUUGCGUUUGGGGUGAUGGAACCGCUGUAAUUUGCUAGUACAGCAAUCUUCAAUUAACAAUACUCCACUUUCUUUUGCAUGAAACAAACAAACAGCCGCUAUGUGCUUGCAGGUGGCAUGCGGUCCCUUACCAGCAGGACAUUCACUGUUCAGAAGUUCUCCCAUAUCAUUUAAUUUUAAUUUAUAACAAUAUGUGGCCUUUUUCUUCAUGGAAGCUGAAACCAUACCA